GGCUUCGCCUUCGCCUCUGCCAAGCAUCGAACUAAGUUCCUUCUUCAAAGAUGACCCUGCUUGACCGCUGAUCUACAUCACAUCAUUGUUCCAAGUGGAUUCAUUUUAUUUAUACACCCAAUUCUAACCUGUAAAUAGUAUUUUUUUACACGAUCCUCGAAUUUCUCAUUGUGAUGAGAGAUAAUCAGAUCACGAGAUGUGCCCCUCUUCUUCCGGUUUGCAUAAAGAUUAACAUCCCAUGCUGCGGCUGAUAGAAAAUGAAAAGGCACAGGGUUUUCUAUAAAUCAACAUGGUAUUUGCUUGAAGUGUGGGGAUGCGCGGUGGCGGAGAGUUGAAGUUGGUCUCAACUCUUUCGUUUUUUGUUUCUAUGUUGCAUUUUAGAAUAUUUUCUGUUGCUUAUUUGUGUCCUAUGUUUGAAGAUAUUGUCUUAUUUGUGCAUUUCUAUUUACUUUGAGACGUAUUUUGAGAAUAAAUGAGUUUUGCUUCGCAUCAUAGUAGAUUGUGUUUCCGCAGGUAAGUUGAAAUCUUAAGAUGCUCUUGACAUCUCUUUAGUCCAGUUAAGUAUAUUGAAUUAUUUUAAUGCUUGGCUAUGAAAUGAGAAUAUUGAGAUGAGAUUGUGUUUCGCCAUAAAAUUAAGAACAUCUCUGUUAUAUAGGAAGUCAUUUUUCAAAUAAGGGAUUAAUUAAUUUAACGUAUUCCAAGUUUGAAAGAUUUCUUGAAAUAAAAAAACAAGGGUUAAGGUUACAGUAAAAACGUUGUAGCUAGAGCCCAUGUUUAAUCCUUCGCGUUCAGUACCAUUACUAUUUUCUCGCUCCAUUUCAAAAUUUGCACCUUCGAGUGCUUAUUUUCCAUGAAGAAAAUCUACUGACUCUUCUAACUAAAUCCCAAAAGGAUAGUUCUCCUGGCUUUGUUAGUUCUUCAAAUCCAAUGGUUACUCUCAGACAAAAGCUUUGCUAAAGCCAUGGCAGAAGCAAAGUGCAAAAAUCAUGAAAAUGAAGGGAACAUGUCACCUUUGUCAUGAGGUAAAUCUUCAAACUAGUUCACUAUAAGGGAGAUAAAGACACAAUACUUGUAAAGUAGUCUUCAUUAUCAAUGCGGAAACAUUCUAAAACUGUGAAACGUUUGGCUAUGAGAUGUGAGAGAUCCUAGACAUUCCUACUUCUUAGAAAAGGGAAUAGCAGAGAGCUCUCCGUCAACAUGCUUGCUUUCUCACGAGAGUAAAUUGGUCAUUUCAUGCGUUGUUAUGCUUAAAUUGUCUAUUGUGCCCGUUUUUGUUGUUGACGUGUUCUGAUCUGAAGUGGAGUCCACAGCUACUUCGCUAACUUGUCACGAUGUCAGUCACCACUGGGCUCUCUUGGUUAAUCUUUUUUCUCUCUCCUCACGUCAACGCUCAAGUUUUGUUAUUCUAAGGUAAUUCGAUAGUUCAAAACUUAGUUUACUGAUCUAUGUUUUCGUAUGACGAAGUUUCAUCUCUGUUCUUGUGACUUUCUGGUUUUGUGUUCUUCCUAUGGCCUUUAAUUCCUCUGUAAGUUUCUUUUUGCUUUAAUAUUUCACUUUGUUUUUUGAAUGUUUACUGUCGUCUGAUUGCUUCGCCCAGCUUUGUAAUUGAUUUGUUUUAUUGACAUGCAAAUGGGUAAUUUGUGCAAAAAUUGGUUUGAUCCUUGCAAAUUUUGACAUUUUACAGCUGGAUAACACUCUAUUGGCAGUCUGUGGCAAACUACUUAAAUUUAAUUUGAUUUUUACGCCAUAGAUCACCAAAAAGUUUAUUGUCAGAUCUGAUGCAAACUGUAAAGAGGAAAAUUUACAGUGAUGGGAAGUUCACAUGUAGAACAGCGGUUUCUCACUGUGAAUGUUUAAGCUAUGAGAUUGUAGUUUAGCUAUGAGAUCAUAAGACUUUGCACAUGUCCUUUAUACAGAAAGCUUCAACGAAACAGUGUUAAAAGGAAACCUGCUUUUUUGCUUAAACAUUUGAAGAACAUGUUGCAUAAAAAUUCCUAUAGGCAUGAUUACUAAGUGCAAAUAGUUAGAACAUAUGUGUGCACGAUCCUGAGAACAAGUGUCCAUAUGGAGAGGGUUGGCUCCUAGCUCGCUACAGUCCUAGAAAUUGCUCUGCUGUUACUAUCGAGAUAUCUCACAGUAAUAAGUUUGUGAAGAAAUGUCUUCUGACCGAAGGAACAAACAUAUAAAGAAGAUACAAAAGAGGAAUCCUUAGUGGAAAAGCUGAUUGCAGAAGCAUCCGUAGGAGAAGAUUGUUGUGUUAUUAUAUUCACUGGCAUCUGAUCCAUAUCAGCAGGUACUGCUGGAAGACCAUAUGACUUUGGCAUUAAGGCUUCUGUAUUUGUUGGUAUGUACAUCCAAAGCAUUCCACUGACAUGAAAUAACAAAAUCAGAAAUAGAUGGCUUAUAAAGAGUAACAUUUAUGUGAUAACUCUAUAAUCUUCUAUUUCUCUUUUGGACACAAGCUCAUUCCUUGCGGAUAUUGUCACUAUACCUCAAUUUAUAAUAGUAAAGCUUUGUUCA
Molecule: long non-coding RNA, 2520 nt
Organism: Nicotiana tabacum (common tobacco)
Lineage: Eukaryota; Viridiplantae; Streptophyta; Magnoliopsida; Solanales; Solanaceae
Source: RefSeq, a predicted model, not a curated record